UUAUCUCUGUAGAGUCUGCAUAUCAAUAAGCGGAGGAAAAGAAACUAACAAGGAUUCCCUUAGUAACGGCGAGUGAAGCGGGAAGAGCUCAAAUUUGAAAUCUUCAAGGUUUUACCUUGACGAAUUGUAGUUUAAAGAAGUGUUUUCUGUUGAAGUUUUGGUAAAAGUUCUUUGGAAUAGGACAUCAUAGAGGGUGAGAAUCCCGUAUUUGACCAUUAUUUUCAGCUGUGUGAUACACUUUCAAAGAGUAGGAUUGUUUGGGAAUGCAGUCCAAAAUGGGUGGUAAAUUUCAUCUAAAGCUAAAUAUUGGCGAGAGACCGAUAGCGAACAAGUACCGUGAGGGAAAGAUGAAAAGAACUUUGAAAAGAGAGUUAAACAGUACGUGAAAUUGUCAAAAGGGAAGCGUUUGACACCAGUGUUGUUUUCUCGAAAAUCAAUUAAAAAAAGUUGGAUUUUGUGUUGUAUUGACCUUAACAGCUUUCUGCACUCUUUUCCUGCUUUUUUUAAUGCACUUUUCGUUUAACAAGUCAACAUCAGUUUCUUUUGUUGUAAAAGGGUCAUUGGAAGGUGGCUUUCUUUUCGGAGAAAGUGUUUAUAGCCUUUGAUCUCUGCAAUCGGAGAGAUUGAGGUCUGCAGCGUAGAUCCUUCGGGGCUAGAUACGUAGAUGCUAAGUUAUAGUUUUUUAUAGACAACUUGUUGACUAUAAUUAAUCAUGUAGCUUACUCGUUUGCGCUAUUUUACCUACGCUUAGGAUGUUGAUCUGUAGUGCGUGCGC
Molecule: ribosomal RNA, 775 nt
Filed under: uncultured Neocallimastigales
Lineage: Eukaryota; Fungi; Neocallimastigomycota; Neocallimastigomycetes; Neocallimastigales
Description: partial large subunit ribosomal RNA
Rfam family: Eukaryotic large subunit ribosomal RNA
Source: RNAcentral